This 301-nucleotide ribosomal RNA is filed under the name uncultured bacterium. Its description in RNAcentral is "partial 16S ribosomal RNA". It matches the Rfam family "Bacterial small subunit ribosomal RNA", at positions 509 to 809 of the family's 1533-position model. The record is from RNAcentral.
CAGCCGCCGCGGUAAUACGAAGGGGGCUAGCGUUGCUCGGAAUUACUGGGCGUAAAGGGAGCGUAGGCGGAUGUUUAAGUCAGAGGUGAAAGCCCAGGGCUCAACCUUGGAACUGCCUUUGAUACUGGACAUCUUGAGUGUGGGAGAGGUAAGCGGAACUCCGAGUGUAGAGGUGAAGUGCGUAGAGAUGUGGAGGAACACCAGUGGCGAAGGCGACUCUCUGGUCUGUAACUGACGCUGAGGAGCGAAAGCGUGGGGAGCGAACAGGAUUAGAUACCCGUGUAGUCCCUGUCUCUUAUAU